AUUGAACGCUGGCGGCAGGCCUAACACAUGCAAGUCGAGCGAGCGGCGGACGGGUGAGUAAUGUAUGGGGACUGCCCGUUAUAGGGGGAUAACUCCUGGAAACGGUAGCUAAUACCGCAUACUACCGCAUAAUCCAUAUGGGAUUAGCUAGUAGGUGAGGUAAUGGCUCACCUAGGCGACGAUCCCUAGCUGGUCUGAGAGGAUGAUCAGCCACACUGGGACUGAGACACGGCCCAGACUCCUACGGAGGCAGCAGUGGGGAAUAUUGCACAAUGGGCGCAAGCCUGAUACAGCCAUGCCGCGUGUAUGAAGAAGGCCCUAGGGUUGUAAAGUACUUUCAGUCGGGAGGCGUUACCGACAGAAGAAGCACCGGCUAACUCCGUGCCAGCAGCCGCGGUAAUAC
Molecule: ribosomal RNA, 403 nt
Filed under: uncultured bacterium
Lineage: Bacteria
Description: partial 16S ribosomal RNA
Rfam family: Bacterial small subunit ribosomal RNA
Source: RNAcentral